Molecule: long non-coding RNA, 208 nt
Filed under: Lathyrus oleraceus (garden pea)
Lineage: Eukaryota; Viridiplantae; Streptophyta; Magnoliopsida; Fabales; Fabaceae
Description: Pisum sativum (pea) long non-coding RNA (PSAT_LNC021947)
Source: RNAcentral
AAAUAUGACCUACAGUUCUUCCAACCCUCACUCUAUAAUCAGAAAAGCGGAGUUGAAAUUCGAGGUACCAAAACUGAGUUGCUUCGAUUCAACCUCAAAACAACUCAGAAUCAUUGCCUACAUUGGUAGGACUUCCGUCAUCCACAAAUUAAGCCAAUAUCUUAAGAAAUAAGAUAGAAUUGAAGAGUUGAAAAUUGAAGAAAUUCAC